Long non-coding RNA from Ruditapes philippinarum (Manila clam), 339 nucleotides. RefSeq lists it as uncharacterized. Lineage: Eukaryota; Metazoa; Mollusca; Bivalvia; Venerida; Veneridae. The transcript is spliced from 3 exons. The record is from RefSeq and is a predicted model, not a curated record.
AUAAAUAAUGCUGUCUGGAGACUCUGUGGCAGUUAUUCAUUAGUUUAUACACACGUAUGGACAAAAUGGGUGUUUUUAACAUUAUUGUUAUGUGCAUUGUAUGGCAAAUAAACAGCGUCGGGACACAAGAGAUACGACCCCAAAAAGCUGGCAAUUUGAAGGCAGUAGAAAAUUGGUUACUGUAUAUAAAAUUCGGCAAUGACGAGGUGUGCGCAGGUGUACAACUCUCUGACGAUUGGGUUCUUACCCUUGCUGACUGCAUUGAUAAAAAAUUCAAGCUUACAAAAUACAGAAUUGUUUACAAAGAUGGUUCAAGGAAGGUUAUUGCCGAAGACCGGG